GACCAAUACUUGCCCUUGUCUUGAAAACAAGGCUAGAGUGUUUAAAGUUCACUCAUUGGUUU
This 62-nucleotide transfer RNA is filed under the name Bathymodiolus thermophilus. RNAcentral's name for it is "tRNA-Ser". The record is from RNAcentral. Lineage: Eukaryota; Metazoa; Mollusca; Bivalvia; Mytilida; Modiolidae.